AUUGAACGCUGGCGGAAUGCUUUACACAUGCAAGUCGAACGGCAGCACGGACUUCGGUCUGGUGGCGAGUGGCGAACGGGUGAGUAAUGUAUCGGAACGUGCCCAGUCGUGGGGGAUAACGUAGUGAAAAUUACGCUAAUACCGCAUACGAUCUAUGGAUGAAAGCGGGGGAUCGCAAGACCUCGCGCGAUUGGAGCGGCCGAUAUCAGAUUAGGUAGUUGGUGGGGUAAAGGCCCACCAAGCCAACGAUCUGUAGCUGGUCUGAGAGGACGACCAGCAGCUAGGGAACUGGGACGAGGUCGAGACUCCUGCGGGAGGCGGCAGUGGGGAAUUGUGGACAAUGGGCAAAAGCCUGAUCCAGCCAUUCGGCGUGCAGGAUGAAGGCCCUCGGGUUGUAAACUGCUUUUGUGCAGAACGAAAAGGUUUCUACUAAUACUAGGAGCUCAUGACGGUACUGUAAGAAUAAGCACCGGCUAACUACGUGCCAGCAGCCGCAGUAA
Molecule: ribosomal RNA, 500 nt
Filed under: uncultured bacterium
Lineage: Bacteria
Description: partial 16S ribosomal RNA
Rfam family: Bacterial small subunit ribosomal RNA
Source: RNAcentral